AAUAGAUUGGAAUGUUUCUCUCCUCACUGGGAAAAGCUCCUUUGGUCUCAGUGAACUCAGAGGUGGAGAAAGUCAUAAGAAUCAGGGAGCCUGCCCCAAAUUGCCUCCUAUGAUAACUUUCCACAAAGACUGGAGGGGAGGCUCCAAACGUCUUCCUGCAGUGUCCAGCAAGACAGCGAGGCAGACUCCCUUUCUCCUGCCAAAGCCACGUGGAGCCAGACAGAACCACAAGCAUACCUGUGGUGCUUGGAGGCCCAAGUAGAAACUUGAAUGCUCACGGCUGCAUUGGCAGCUUCUACUUGCCUGCCUGGAUCACUGUUCCUCAUGAGAACUUGGAAAAGCAGGACUAUCAUUCUUGCUUGACAGAUGAAGAAACCAAGCCUCAGGACUGCGUGCAAUUCUACUUGGAGAUCUUCAUAACACCUUAAGGGAAAAAUCCUUUUUGAAAGAAAAACAACUCUGGGUGGUGCUUGAAAAUUCAGAAGGCAGCUAGAAACUUUGCCAAUUACAACUGCACCGACUGAAGACAAAAGAAACUUCUCCAGUGGAUGAAGUUGUCCACUGGCAUCCACAGCAAUGAUGUCCUUGCUUCCCAAAGUGUACACAUUGUUUGCUGGGUGAUUGCUGAGUUCCGGAGACAGACUGGGCUUCUGCUUUCUUUUGGUGGAGGUGUCUGCUUGCAGAAAAUUUAUGUUCUGGGAUUUACAACUUCAGGGAGACAAAGGAAACUCCAGCUCAUCUCCCACAUCAUUGAUUGAGAGGACCAUCUUCUGACUCUCUGCACAUGGUAAUAACUGGCAUAUGCUGUGAAAGUCGUGCAAGUAGAAAAGACAAUAACCAGUCUGUGGGAUGAUUCAAGGCUGCUAGAUCCACAUUUUUCCUUGGAUAAUACAUGUGUAGUUUUCACAAAGACAUCAAGCGUGUACUGUCAUCAGUGAGAGCAAAGUACUACUGGACUCUGUCUAAUGGUAUACGCAGAAACUAACACCUUCCUUAGAGUAAGAAGCCUCACGAAUACUAACUUCAUGUUCUUGCUUAUAUGUUAAUGUGCCAGUUAUGGAAUAACUUGAGAAAAAAAUGGUAGUAACAUUUUCUUCUAAAAAAUACAUACAUUAUGUAGCUUUUGACAAAGUUAUGAAAUACACAUCCAAAUGAGAUUAAGAUUCAUCAAAUGCUACAUGCUUGAUAACAUAAUCAGGUUACUUCCAUCAGUUAUAUACUGUGUACAUGCAUUUGUACAAACCAAAGCAGAAUGUGAUAAAUAUUUAUGUUAUUCAGUAGCUUUCAAACCCUCUCCUACUUAAACAGUGUCUUUGAAACAUUGAAAGUUUGAUCAGUUUUGUUUUGCGCCACUCUAAUAAAUACUAAAAUGAAUGCUGCCAUCUGUUAUUUACAUACAAAACCUUAGUCAAGCUCUAAAAUUGCUGCUGAUUUAGACAGUGAGAAAUACAUGUUUUUACACUAAAGUGGCAUGAAGUUUAAAUACAGAGUCAACUUGGUUUGUGACGAUGGAACAGAGGGUAAACUGGCACAAAUUGACAGAAAACAGAGUUCUCAUCAGAGAUCUGUCUAAUGACAACUUAUUAAACUAAUUACUAAUAAAAUGGUUUUCUCACACUUUUAUUCUUAAGUUACUAUAAUCUUAGAGAUAAAUAUUAUUGAUUUAUUAUACAUAUCAGUCUCACAUUUUAAGUGGUGUAUGUUUAAAAUACAUACAUUCAGAAAACCUAUACAAUUAGAUACAAUUUUAAUGAUAAUUUGUCAAAGGUAGCAUAAAAGAUGCAUUUAAUAUCAUAAUUAAAGUUUUAAAAAAGCUUUCUUGACAGCAGUAUGAUAAACUAUAUACUUGACCAAUCUUCAUGAUAAAAACAACUAAAAUGCAUGAUAAAUUAUAUAUAUAAUACAUAUAUAUGCAUAGACAUAUAUGUGUAUGUAUUACAAUGCAUUAUUGAGUUGGUACAGUUGUAAGAAUUCUACAGAGGACAAAACAGAAAUGAAGACAGAAAUCCUGAGAGGUUAGUAAGUACUAACAGCUCAUUUUUCUUCCAAAGAUUUCUACCACAACCUUCUAUCUUACUAUUCAUUUCUGAUAGUUGCAUGGAGUGUGGAAAAUAAGGUGAGAACCCACAAAAGGUGAAGGGGCUAAUAGGAAAAACUAGCAUAAAGCUGGAAACCUAAAGGCUGCAUAUAUUCCAAAUCCGUGGCCAUUAUUG
Pan troglodytes (chimpanzee) is the source of this 2213-nucleotide long non-coding RNA. RefSeq lists it as uncharacterized. NCBI's taxonomy places the organism in Eukaryota, Metazoa, Chordata, Mammalia, Primates, Hominidae. The transcript has 6 exons. The record is from RefSeq and is a predicted model, not a curated record.